Transfer RNA from Perkinsela sp. CCAP 1560/4, 71 nucleotides. It matches the Rfam family "tRNA". Rfam says of the family: Transfer RNA (tRNA) molecules are approximately 80 nucleotides in length. NCBI's taxonomy places the organism in Eukaryota, Euglenozoa, Kinetoplastea, Prokinetoplastida, Perkinselidae. The record is from Rfam.
GGCGAAAUAGUUAAGUGGUAAAAUUCUCGUUUAGGGUAUGAGAGGCCCGGGUUCGAUUCCCGGUUUCGCCC